AUAAUAUUCGUCUAUGACUAUUUUUCUCAAAAGAACAAAAGCUUUGCCUAUCAUUAUUAUUUAAGUGGAAGUAACAUGAAAUAGAGUGGUCCGGUCAGCGCAUUCAAAGCUCACCCAACACCAAACCGGACACCGCCACGUAAUUCUGACUUGGCAUACUUUUUUUUAGUCGUUCAACUUCAAGGUUAGAAAAUCUCUCUCUCUC
This 205-nucleotide long non-coding RNA is filed under the name Elaeis guineensis (African oil palm). RNAcentral's name for it is "long non-coding RNA (EGUI_LNC017858)". The record is from RNAcentral. Lineage: Eukaryota; Viridiplantae; Streptophyta; Magnoliopsida; Arecales; Arecaceae.